GGUCAAGUUAUUAAGGGUGCAGGGCGGAUGCCUUGGCACUAGGAGCCGAUGAAGGACGUGAUAAGCUGCGAUAAGCUUCGGGGAGUUGCACGUAAACUUUGAUCCGAAGAUUUCCGAAUGAGGAAACUCACUUAGAGUAAUGUCUAAGUAUCAUUAAGUGAAUACAUAGCUUAAUGAGGGGAACUCAGGGAACUGAAACAUCUAAGUACCUGAAGGAAGAGAAAGAAAUUCGAUUCCGUAAGUAGCGGCGAGCGAACGCGGAUUAGCCCAAACCAAUAAAGUUUUCUUUAUUGGGGUUGCGGACAUAUCACAUAUAAGAGGUCAUUAUAGACGAAGAAGUUUGGAAAAACUCAUCAUAGAAGGUAAUAAUCCUGUAGUCAAAAUAAUAAUUCUUUAGAUAUGAUCCAGAGUACCACGGGACACGUGAAACCCUGUGGGAAGCAGGAGGGACCACCCUCCAAGGCUAAAUACUACCUAGUGACCGAUAGCGUAUAGUACCGUGAGGGAAAGGUGAAAAGAACCCCGGGAGGGGAGUGAAAUAGAACCUGAAACCCUGCACUUACAAGCUGUGGAAGCACAUUUCUUGUGUGACCGCGUACUUUUUGUAGAACGGGCCAACGAGUUACGUUAAGUAGCAAG
Molecule: ribosomal RNA, 639 nt
Filed under: Clostridioides difficile
Lineage: Bacteria; Bacillati; Bacillota; Clostridia; Peptostreptococcales; Peptostreptococcaceae
Description: partial 23S ribosomal RNA
Rfam family: Bacterial large subunit ribosomal RNA
Source: RNAcentral